GGUUGUAGCUCAGUGGCAGAGCGCUUGCCUAGCAUGCAGGAGGCACUGGGUUCGAUCCUCAGCACCA
Molecule: transfer RNA, 67 nt
Filed under: Marmota monax (woodchuck)
Lineage: Eukaryota; Metazoa; Chordata; Mammalia; Rodentia; Sciuridae
Description: tRNA.Ala
Rfam family: tRNA
About the family: Transfer RNA (tRNA) molecules are approximately 80 nucleotides in length.
Source: RNAcentral